UGAGGAAUAUUGGUCAAUGGGCGAGAGCCUGAACCAGCCAAGUAGCGUGCAGGAUGACGGCCCUAUGGGUUGUAAACUGCUUUUAUGUGGGGAUAAAGUGCGUGACGUGUCAUGCAUUGCAGGUACCACAUGAAUAAGGACCGGCUAAUUCCGUGCCAGCAGCCGCGGUAAUACGGAAGGUCCGGGCGUUAUCCGGAUUUAUUGGGUUUAAAGGGAGCGUAGGCUGUCUAUUAAGCGUGUUGUGAAAUUUACCGGCUCAACCGGUGGCUUGCAGCGCGAACUGGUCGACUUGAGUAUGCAGGAAGUAGGCGGAAUUCAUGGUGUGGCGGUGAAAUGCUUAGAUAUCAUGACGAACUCCGAUUGCGCAGGCAGCUUACUGUAGCAUAACUGACGCUGAUGCUCGAAAGUGCGGGUAUCAAACAGG
This 424-nucleotide ribosomal RNA is filed under the name Verrucomicrobiota bacterium. RNAcentral describes it as "Verrucomicrobia bacterium partial 16S ribosomal RNA". It matches the Rfam family "Bacterial small subunit ribosomal RNA", at positions 355 to 776 of the family's 1533-position model. RNAcentral also lists the same sequence under 1 other name. Lineage: Bacteria; Pseudomonadati; Verrucomicrobiota. The record is from RNAcentral.